Molecule: transfer RNA, 81 nt
Filed under: Salix viminalis (osier)
Lineage: Eukaryota; Viridiplantae; Streptophyta; Magnoliopsida; Malpighiales; Salicaceae
Rfam family: tRNA
About the family: Transfer RNA (tRNA) molecules are approximately 80 nucleotides in length.
Source: RNAcentral
GUUGACAUGGCUGAGUUGGUCAAAGGCGGCAGAUUAAGGGUCAGGUCUGUAAGGGUGUGGGUUUGAAUCCCACUCUCGGCA